Molecule: ribosomal RNA, 495 nt
Filed under: uncultured bacterium
Lineage: Bacteria
Description: partial 16S ribosomal RNA
Rfam family: Bacterial small subunit ribosomal RNA
Source: RNAcentral
GACGAACGCUGGCGGCGUGCCUAAUACAUGCAAGUAGAACGCUGAAGGAGGAGCUUGCUCUUCUGGAUGAGUUGCGAACGGGUGAGUAACGCGUAGGUAACCUGGCUGGUAGCGGGGGAUAACUAUUGGAAACGAUAGCUAAUACCGCAUAACAGUAGAUGUUGCAUGACAUUUACUUAAAAGGUGCAAUUGCAUCACUACCAGAUGGACCUGCGUUGUAUUAGCUAGUUGGUGGGGUAACGGCUCACCAAGGCGACGAUACAUAGCCGACCUGAGAGGGUGAUCGGCCACACUGGGACUGAGACACGGCCCAGACUCCUACGGGAGGCAGCAGUAGGGAAUCUUCGGCAAUAGACGGAAGUCUGACCGAGCAACGCCGCGUGAGUGAAGAAGGUUUUCGGAUCGUAAAGCUCUGUUGUAAGAGAAGAACGAGUGUGAGAGUGGAAAGUUCACACUGUGACGGUAUCUUACCAGAAAGGGACGGCUAACUACGUG